This 497-nucleotide ribosomal RNA is filed under the name uncultured bacterium. RNAcentral's name for it is "partial 16S ribosomal RNA". It matches the Rfam family "Bacterial small subunit ribosomal RNA", at positions 28 to 507 of the family's 1533-position model. The record is from RNAcentral.
GAUGAACGCUGGCGGCGUGCCUAAUACAUGCAAGUCGAGCGAACAGAUGAGGAGCUUGCUCCUCUGACGUUAGCGGCGGACGGGUGAGUAACACGUGGAUAACCUACCUAUUAGACUGGGAUAACUUCGGGAAACCGGAGCUAAUACCGGAUAAUAUAUUGAACCGCAUGGUUCAAUAGUGAAAGACGGUUUUGCUGUCACUUAUAGAUGGAUCCGCGCCGCAUUAGCUAGUUGGUAAGGUAACGGCUUACCAAGGCAACGAUGCGUAGCCGACCUGAGAGGGUGAUCGGCCACACUGGAACUGAGACACGGUCCAGACUCCUACGGGAGGCAGCAGUAGGGAGUCUUCCGCAAUGGGCGAAAGCCUGACGGAGCAACGCCGCGUGGGUGAUGAAGGUCUUCGGAUCGUAAAACUCUGUUAUUAGGGAAGAACAAAUGUGUAAGUAACUAUGCACGUCUUGACGGUACCUAAUCAGAAAGCCACGGCUAACUACGUG